Molecule: ribosomal RNA, 620 nt
Filed under: uncultured bacterium
Lineage: Bacteria
Description: bacterial SSU rRNA
Rfam family: Bacterial small subunit ribosomal RNA (bases 1-542)
Source: RNAcentral
CCUACGGGAGGCAGCAGUGGGGAAUUUUGGACAAUGGGCGCAAGCCUGAUCCAGCCAUGCCGCGUGCGGGAAGAAGGCCUUCGGGUUGUAAACCGCUUUUGUCAGGGAAGAAAUCCUUUGGGCUAAUACCUCGGAGGGAUGACGGUACCUGAAGAAUAAGCACCGGCUAACUACGUGCCAGCAGCCGCGGUAAUACGUAGGGUGCGAGCGUUAAUCGGAAUUACUGGGCGUAAAGCGUGCGCAGGCGGUUAUGCAAGACAGAUGUGAAAUCCCCGGGCUUAACCUGGGAACUGCAUUUGUGACUGCAUAGCUCGAGUACGGCAGAGGGGGAUGGAAUUCCGCGUGUAGCAGUGAAAUGCGUAGAUAUGCGGAGGAACACCGAUGGCGAAGGCAAUCCCCUGGGCCUGUACUGACGCUCAUGCACGAAAGCGUGGGGAGCAAACAGGAUUAGAUACCCUGGUAGUCCACGCCCUAAACGAUGUCAACUGGUUGUUGGACGGCUUGCUGUUCAGUAACGAAGCUAACGCGUGAAGUUGACCGCCUGGGGNGGACGCGCGAGUAGAACGACGAAGUAGAGUUAGACGGCGUGAGACGNGCGAGGACGACGACGAGGGAGGAGG